RNAcentral lists this ribosomal RNA (263 nucleotides) under uncultured archaeon. RNAcentral describes it as "partial 16S ribosomal RNA". It matches the Rfam family "Archaeal small subunit ribosomal RNA", at positions 717 to 982 of the family's 1478-position model. The record is from RNAcentral.
AGUCACUGACAUUAGAUACCCGUGUAGUCCAGGGUGUAAACGCUGCAGACUUGGUGUUGGAAGUCCUUUGGGGGCAUUCAGUGCCGGAGAGAAGUUGUUAAGUCUGCUACUUGGGAGUACGUCCGCAAGGAUGAAACUUAAAGGAAUUGGCGGGGAGCACCACAACGGGUGGAGCCUGCGGUUUAAUUGGACUCAACGCCGGAAAUCUCACCGGAUAGGACAGACAUAUGAUAGUCGGGCUGAAGACUCUGCUAGAUUUUCAG